RNAcentral lists this ribosomal RNA (1175 nucleotides) under Curtobacterium flaccumfaciens pv. oortii. RNAcentral describes it as "partial 23S ribosomal RNA". It matches the Rfam family "Bacterial large subunit ribosomal RNA", at positions 1759 to 2925 of the family's 2925-position model. Lineage: Bacteria; Bacillati; Actinomycetota; Actinomycetes; Micrococcales; Microbacteriaceae. The record is from RNAcentral.
ACUCCGUGAGCGUUGAAGGCCGCAGAGACCAGUGGGAAGCGACUGUUUACUAAAAACACAGGUCCGUGCGAAGUCGCAAGACGAUGUAUACGGACUGACGCCUGCCCGGUGCUGGAAGGUUAAGAGGAAGGGUUAGCCUUUGGGCGAAGCUCUGAAUUUAAGCCCCAGUAAACGGCGGUGGUAACUAUAACCAUCCUAAGGUAGCGAAAUUCCUUGUCGGGUAAGUUCCGACCUGCACGAAUGGCGUAACGACUUCCCAGCUGUCUCAACCGCGAACUCGGCGAAAUUGCACUACGAGUAAAGAUGCUCGUUACGCGCAGCAGGACGGAAAGACCCCGUGACCUUUACUACAGUUUGGUAUUGGUGUUCGGAGUGGCUUGUGUAGGAUAGGUGGGAGACUGUGAAGCGGGCACGCUAGUGUUCGUGGAGUCAUUGUUGAAAUACCACUCUGGUCACUUUGGAUGUCUAACGUAGGACCCUGAUCGGGUUCAUGGACAGUGCCUGAUGGGUAGUUUAACUGGGGCGGUUGCCUCCCAAAGAGUAACGGAGGCGCCCAAAGGUUCCCUCAACCUGGUUGGCAAUCAGGUGGCGAGUGUAAGUGCACAAGGGAGCUUGACUGUGAGACUGACAGGUCGAGCAGGGACGAAAGUCGGGACUAGUGAUCCGGCAGUGGCUUGUGGAAGCGCUGUCGCUCAACGGAUAAAAGGUACCUCGGGGAUAACAGGCUGAUCUUGCCCAAGAGUCCAUAUCGACGGCAUGGUUUGGCACCUCGAUGUCGGCUCGUCGCAUCCUGGGGCUGGAGUAGGUCCCAAGGGUUGGGCUGUUCGCCCAUUAAAGCGGUACGCGAGCUGGGUUUAGAACGUCGUGAGACAGUUCGGUCCCUAUCCGCUGCGCGCGUUGGAAAUUUGAGAAGAUCUAUCCCUAGUACGAGAGGACCGGGAUGGACGAACCUCUGGUGUGUCAGUUGUUCUGCCAAGGGCACCGCUGAUUAGCUACGUUCGGACCGGAUAACCGCUGAAAGCAUCUAAGCGGGAAGCCGUCUUCGAGAUGAGAUUUCCAUGCACCUUGAGUGUGAGAGGCUCCCAGCAGACUACUGGGUUGAUAGGCCGGAUGUGGAAGCGGGGACUAACGACCCGUGGAGCUGACCGGUACUAAUAAGCCGAAGACUUGAUAAC